Molecule: long non-coding RNA, 3650 nt
Filed under: Triticum aestivum (bread wheat)
Lineage: Eukaryota; Viridiplantae; Streptophyta; Magnoliopsida; Poales; Poaceae
Description: long non-coding RNA (TAES_LNC018497)
Source: RNAcentral
AAGAAUCUUGUGGAGCAUCAAUCAAUAGUAAUGUCUACAUGCAAAAUCAUAUGAAAUCUUGCGGAGCAUCAAUCAAUAGUAAUGCCUACAAAAAUCAUAUGAUAUAUGAUGAACAAACCAAGAGCAUGCUAUCUCCUGAGAGCAGCAAAAUGAUCAUGGAUUAGAUGACUGAAGAACCAACCGGGAAUAUGCUAUCUCCUGAAAGCAGCAAAAUGAUUGCAAACAGUAAAGAACAAGUACAGCUAGGAGAAUGGAAAGAACCAAUGACCAAACAACAUGCUCAACCUGCAUUUACGAGGAACCAGAACCUUGCGGAACAUCAAACGAUAGCAAUACAAACAAUACUUUUGCAUUAAACAGAAAAGGAAAGCAUUAUUUGGCAUACAGAACCAUAAUAAUUGAUGGUCAACCAUAGCGUGCAAAAUUAUCUAUGCCAGUGAGGAUAUUGGUUAUUCUAAUCUCCUAAUACCUACUGACCUCCGUCUAACCAGAUCUGCAUUUGAGUGGCCUCAGAUUCGCCUUUGCACAAUUACACGACCCUUCCCCCGGUGUCUCCAUCACCAGAUCAAUCUGUUCUUACCUUGGUGAAACUGCCCUGGUUAUCACUCAUAAGAAAUGACCAUCCAAGGACAGGGCCACUAAAAUAAGCACAUGAUCAAAAUACCCACAAGCGCCUCGAUUGCUUGAGAAGUUGAGAGCAUGCUUAUAUCAGCCAUGGUCAAUCAUCAUAGCGCCGACUAAGGAUUUUGUUUCUUCGUUAUAGAGCUGGUUGCUAUAACCAGCUAUGAGCAACUCUAGCAGACUCGCCAAAAUGGGAAGUCCAUUCAGUUCAGCAACCACAAAUCGAGCUUAAUCAUAAAGCCAUGCACCAUUCGCAAACCAGGGUUAAUCUUUAUUGGUUGGUCACUACAUUUGCUAUAUCCGCUCGUCACAAAUUAAUUGGUUUCUCAUAAAUGAUUAUGCACUAAGCACUCUACAGCAACAACAACAACAACAAAGCCUUUUAGUCCCAAACAAGUUGGGGUAGGCUAGGGGUGAACCUGCAGAAAUAGAUAAUUGGCGAAUAUCAAGCCUUGUGCCACGAAGCAUAUCUUUUAUCCCAUGUCAAACAAAAACAAGGUUUAUCCCCCUCCACAUUACUCAAGAAAGGAAACGGAAACAGUGUUUCCAUGGCUCGGCAUCAAUAAUUCUUCAGUUGAACCGGUGCUCAGACCCGGUGCUUCCAACUCCAACAGCAUUGCUAAGCGCAUGUGCAUUAAUAACGAGACUACUGUUCAGAGAAAGCAAUGCCAGAUGAGCUUCAACAGCAUGUAAAUAUGAUAAUCAGGUUCCGUUGCUAAAGCUCUCUGGCAUUGUUUCUCUUGAUUAAUAGCCACAUCAAUAAUCACAUGCCCUUAGUAAUGUUGCCGGAGUUGGAAACUACUGGUCUGAGGACCGAUUCAGCUGGAGAAUUAUAACAGUCCAAGUUAUAACUGCCACUGGAAACGUUGUUUCCUUUCUUAAGGCGGAGAACCAAUGGGAUGAACCUUGAUUGACAUAGAAUAAAAUAUAUACUUUGUGACCCAAGGCUUAAUAUUUGCCAAUUUUUCUCAAACUGCAGCAUAAAAGUUUAGAUUCUUGGAACUAAGCGAAAGAUGUAAGAAAUAUUAGUAUAUGACUAUAUGUAGAUAAAUUACCGCAUCAUUAUUUAUUAGAAAUCAAUCAGUUUGUAACGAAUGGAUAUAGCAAACGUAGUUGACCAGCCAAUAAAGAUUCACCUUAGUGUUGUACAACUCCAUACAAAUCAUAUUUUUCAGGUCACUGAAGCAACAAAUUAUGCAUCAGCCAUAUACUUGGCUGCAUGGUGAAUUUGAUCAAAGAGAAGAAACAGAACUCACUCUUUAUCACUCUAUGCUGGGGGCUCAUGAAGGAAUUUAAAUUCAGCUCUAAUUGAUACUCCACGAUCCAUGAAUUCUUACAUGUAGAUGCACCAAGCAAUGCUUGAAACCACUUGAGCUGGUUACAGGAACUUCUAGAGUCUCUUCUCUCUCGUUUAUAGAAUCCUGUGAACCAAAGAGGAUGGUAACUGAGGCAGUGACGAAGAUGAUAAAGAUGAUGAUGCAAACAAGGUUCCAAUAUUUGUUGGUAACGCUCCGCCACUGACGGUGAGGUGGUGAUCUCCGGCUUACAAAAGCACAAUUUCACAACUAAAAUAGCUAGCGAUCAUUACCACAUAGCAGACAAGAUGGGCUUCUACAGAAAGAUGUGGCCUUCCCGGACCAUGUUUUGUCAAUAGACAAACUUGUGGUGGUAACCAAAAUCAUACUGAAUUCUGAUGUUUAAAUAGUUACUACUCCCUCCAUCCCAUAAUAUAAGAGCAUUUUUUACACUACACAUAAUUACCCCAAAGGCUUUGCUUAGCCAUAAUAUAAGAGUGUCAAAAACACUCUUAUAUUUUUCGGAUGGAGGGAGUACGUCUAAAUGGGCAAAGGCCGCGACUGUUAUAAGCUAACCAGGAAGAGUGCAAGACAAAGCAAUGCAAAAUUAUAUAUGUAAAGAGAAAGCUGCGACAACACAUAAUUACCCCAAAUGCUUUGCUUAGCAAAAAAAAGAAGUUUAGAAGCUAGUAAAAACACAUAUCCUUCAAAGUUCACCAACCUUUUGUCUAGUGCAUGAUCCAAAAAAAAUCAGUGGCAAACAGACAAAAUUGGGAAAAUCUUCGCAACGAACAAAAGAAAGCAAUAAGGAAAUAUCACCUUGAUGGCACAGAUUAACCCAGCCACUCUAUCAAAGCUGUCAAGUGUCAACACGUUGCUUAUGGUUACAAACAGCAACAUGCGACAUGCUACCUCAGUCACUCUUUACAUUAACAAUCCAGUACUAAAAAAACAGUAGCAUCGUUAUUUUGUAGCACGCGAGAACAAAUAGCUGCAACUGGCAACUUGUAGGAAACAAAUAAACAUAGUAUGGAAACUAAUUAAAACAAGUCAUCCAACCAAUACAUUUCUGAACGCAAGUCUUCCUAGUGUAACAAAGUGCAACUUGCUCAUAAAGAGAUUAUAUUAUACUAAGGAAAAAAACUUAAGAGAAGAUAAACCAAAAGUAUCUCCGGAGAGUAGCAAAAUGAUCACAAACAAUAAACAGUGAGUAGAACUAGGAAGGAAAGAUCAAAUGACCAAGCAACAGCCAAAAUAGUACCCAAAAAAUUAGAAGUAACCAGAAUCUUGCAGAACAUCAAGCAAUAGCAAUACAAACAAUAUUUUUUUUACAUCAACCAAAAAAGGAAAGGUAUUGUUUGGCAUACAGGAUCCGUAAGAAUUUGUGGUCAUCCAUAGAAACUUAAGGUGGAAUCAGAAUCUUGCAGAGCAUCAAUCAAUAGUGACGUCUACAUGCAAAAUCAUAUGAUAUAUGAUGAACCAACAAAGAGUAUGCUAUCUCCUUCGAUGUGUUCUUAAAAUCCUGCAAAUCAAAGAUGCACGAAACACAAAUACAGAACGGCAACAACAUGGUACAAUGUGCUUGAGACCAGAUCUGCAUUUGAGUGGCCUCAGAUUCGUCGUUGCACGAUCAUACGACCCUUACCCCAGUGUCUCCAUCACCAGAUCAAUCUGUUCAUACAUUGGUGAAACUGCCCUGGUUAUCACUCAUAAGAAAUGACCAUCCAAGGACAG